This 252-nucleotide ribosomal RNA is filed under the name uncultured bacterium. RNAcentral describes it as "partial 16S ribosomal RNA". It matches the Rfam family "Bacterial small subunit ribosomal RNA", at positions 524 to 776 of the family's 1533-position model. The record is from RNAcentral.
GACGUAGGAGGCGAGCGUUGUCCGGAUUCAUUGGGCGUAAAGAGCGCGCAGGCGGCUUGGAAGUCGGAUGUGAAAUCCCGAGGCUCAACCUCGGGUCUGCAUCCGAUACUGCCCGGCUAGAGGUAGGUAGGGGAGAUCGGAACUCCUGGUGUAGCGGUGAAAUGCGUAGAUAUCAGGAGGAACACCAAUGGCGAAGGCAGCACUCUGGGACGUGACUGACGCUGAGACGCGAAAGCGUGGGGAGCAAACAGG